GUUUACUAGUCACUCUUCGGAAAAUUCCUAGUAGAAUUCAUAUAUAGGGAACUUGCUGCAAAGUUUCAUUCGGUUUGGUUUGAAACCUCUGGGAAAUUGAGAGGACAUCUAGUCAUUUAAUUCAAAUAGUUAUUAUAAUAAUUAAAUAUACUGCAACAAAGUCCACAAAUCUAAACUACCCACCAAAAUAGUGAGAAAGUGUAAUUAAAUAUUAAAAAG
Molecule: long non-coding RNA, 219 nt
Filed under: Mytilus galloprovincialis (Mediterranean mussel)
Lineage: Eukaryota; Metazoa; Mollusca; Bivalvia; Mytilida; Mytilidae
Source: RNAcentral